Molecule: ribosomal RNA, 253 nt
Filed under: uncultured bacterium
Lineage: Bacteria
Description: partial 16S ribosomal RNA
Rfam family: Bacterial small subunit ribosomal RNA
Source: RNAcentral
GACGUAGGAUGCAAGCGUUGUCCGGAAUUAUUGGGCGUAAAGAGUUCGUAGGCGGUUACUUAAGUCUGAUGUUAAAUACCAGAGCUCAACUCUGGCAUGGCAUUGGAAACUGGGUGGCUAGAGUGUGGUAGAGGUCACGGGAAUUCCUGGUGUAGCGGUGAAAUGCGUAGAUAUCAGGAGGAACACCGGUGGCGAAAGCGCGUGACUGGGCCAUAACUGACGCUGAGGAACGAAAGCCAGGGGAGCGAAAGGG